CCUACGGGAGGCAGCAGUGGGGAAUAUUGGACAAUGGGCGCAAGCCUGAUCCAGCAAUGCCGCGUGAGUGAUGAAGGCCUUAGGGUUGUAAAGCUCUUCCGACGGGGACGAUGAUGACGGUACCCGUAGAAGAAGCCCCGGCUAACUUCGUGCCAGCAGCCGCGGUAAU
This 169-nucleotide ribosomal RNA is filed under the name uncultured Magnetospirillum sp. Its description in RNAcentral is "partial 16S ribosomal RNA". It matches the Rfam family "Bacterial small subunit ribosomal RNA", at positions 338 to 524 of the family's 1533-position model. Lineage: Bacteria; Pseudomonadati; Pseudomonadota; Alphaproteobacteria; Rhodospirillales; Rhodospirillaceae. The record is from RNAcentral.